AUCCCAUCACUUACCUUUGCAAUAUUUUUAUAUAUCAUGAGUGCUCUUUUUUGAUAAGAACUAGGGUUCUUUUUUCGUAUCAUACCUUACUUUCCAAUGUAAUAGUAUACUAAUUAACACUGUUGCGAUCCAGUCCUACUUUACUGCCACUGUUAAUUUCAUGUUAACUUUCCUACAGUUUGUGGUCUAUAAUUUACUUUAGUUGUAUCCAGACGCUUCAUCG
Molecule: long non-coding RNA, 223 nt
Filed under: Elaeis guineensis (African oil palm)
Lineage: Eukaryota; Viridiplantae; Streptophyta; Magnoliopsida; Arecales; Arecaceae
Description: long non-coding RNA (EGUI_LNC018161)
Source: RNAcentral